Molecule: long non-coding RNA, 435 nt
Organism: Mobula hypostoma (lesser devil ray)
Lineage: Eukaryota; Metazoa; Chordata; Chondrichthyes; Myliobatiformes; Myliobatidae
Exons: 2
Source: RefSeq, a predicted model, not a curated record
UCCAAAAUAAGGAGAUGUGCUCUACUCUUCCAGACAACAGACUAAAACCUCCUAAUUUAUGAUUUUUGGCAGGCGGACUUUGAAUUAUUUACUUAAAAAAUUAGAAAUCUGCUGAAACUGAUCGAUGUCUGCCACUGUUCUAUUACAUUUGACUCUGACAAUGCUGAAAAGGUUAUCAUCUUGACAGACAUUUUCUCUCUGUAUCUUUAAUUAUUGGUCUUAGAGGCCCAACAUCAGCCAAGCCUUUUCAGGGUAUAGCUUUGAAGGUGAUUGAUCAUGUUAGCAACAGGAGGUGUUCUUCGUAUUACAGCCAGGACAAAUAAGUCCUUUCAAUCUUGUCCCCGUACAAAUAAAUGCCAAAAGAAAGGAUCCAAAAAAUCUAAAAAUAACGUGGUAAUACUGAAAGCCAAAUUAAAACUGUGUUCUGUUCCAGGA